UGUCUAUCUGUUGGCGAGCCCAUCAAUUAAUUCAUCCAGAUGUAAACGCUCUUCUUAACGUCGUUUUAGUAUUAGGGUUUGCGCAUAGCUUUCGUCUCCGGCAUAGGAUGUCGAGACAGAACUAGAGUUCCCUUAUCGCGCAGCUGAUCUUUAACCUUCUUCCUGUCGGUUGCGAGACGAGACCAGUAACCGAAAUUCUGUCAUAAAGCCCUCCAUCAAUCAUGUCGGUGAAAGAUCUGCUAUAAAAAGAACAGCCGCUCUUCCUCCACUGUUCAAGUUUCCCUGCUCCGUUUCUGGGAUGCCAGGAAUGUACGCCGUGGUGGAGAUCUCAUGGGAGUCGACAUGCUCCUUCUUGAUUCUCAGGAACAAUGAUGGUUCUGGAAUUGUUAGGCUAUGCCACGAAAUCGCAGUGGACCAAACUUAAUUACGAACAGAGGGAGAGAAGAUAUAUGAUUACAUGAGGAGCUGUUACAGCGACGAUUCUUCAAAGAGAUGUUGAGACUGUAAAGAGAAAAGACGAUCUAGAGACAGUUAAAGGAUAUCCCAAGCCAGGGUCAGGGACUGUAGGUCCAUACGGUGAGUUGAUUGUUGGUGCAGCGAUAGGGACAAGUAAUGGUGGGAUCAGUGUUGUAGUGUUUGAAUCUGCUUCGUUCAGAAUCUGCAAAUAAGGAUUCAUAAGAAGCAAAGUUGAGGAUAAGGAUCAUCAAGGAAGGAGAGAGUCUUGCAAUUGGAUGGCACUGUGUCGGUUGAUCUCUUUGUCAGAGAUAUGAUGAAUGCUUCAGACAUAAAAGAGCUAAAGGCCGUACUGGUAUAAGCUUCUGAUAAGUCCAUCAACGCACGUGCAGGUGUUGAUGCAGCGAUGCAAAGCGGUCUAUAACAGGAGAACUUGAUGCUGAGGCAGCAGCUAGAAGCUAUUGUCCAGGAGAACAGUUUACUUAAACAAGCCGUGGUGAAGCAACAGAAGUGGCAGAGAGAAACUGAAGAUCAAAGCCAGGAGUUGCAGCCUUUGAGGCAGCUGUUUACUUAAUACCAAGAACAGGUGAGAUUCUGGGAGAUCCAUAAUCUGAGGAAAGACCACGAGCUAAUGAUAAUCUUCUACUUGGGCUAUUAUUGGAGACGAAGAUAUCUUCUAUUCCAAAAUCUUCAAUGGGUGUGAAUUCUUAUCAAAAUAAACCUUCUCAUGAUUAAGCUCUUGGAUUAAGAGAUCCUUUGUGUAUGGUAGAAAAAAUUUUUGAUGGUGAUUGCAUUUGUUGAAUUAAGGUUGCAGAGGAAUUGAUUGUUGAUGGAAUAUUGGAGAGAUGGAAAAAGAUUAAACCGGUUAUCAUGGAAGCUAGGAAGAACUUAUUUUUCUCUGUGUGCAAAAAGUAGGAUAGUGUGGAACAUGGAGGCAGAUCUCAAUUACGUAAGGAUGCUCUGUGUUUCUUAUUUUUCUCAGGUAAUAAAGAAACUGUAAUAUAAAUUCAAGAUGGAUGUAAUUAGAGGUUCCCGUAAAACCGAAAAGACGAAGAUUCAAUAUCAGAUCUACAUUUUAAUUCUGUUUUCAA
Molecule: long non-coding RNA, 1544 nt
Organism: Brassica rapa (field mustard)
Lineage: Eukaryota; Viridiplantae; Streptophyta; Magnoliopsida; Brassicales; Brassicaceae
Source: RefSeq, a predicted model, not a curated record